GUAGGUGAACCUGCGGAAGGAUCAUUAACACGUAUUUUACGUUCUCACCCGCGAAUUGUGUUAGCCAGGAAGGGGAUUUUGGGGCUUGGAGUUUCCUGUACGGAGCUUUGUCUGUGAAGUGUGCAGCUUCAGGGAUCGAGCAACGGAACGUGAUUCCAGGGCUAAAUCUCGACGUGUAAUAUUUGGGUUUUAUCAUUUGCGGAAGUUUUCCUGAAUUUACACGUUGCUUUGAUCGGGUCGGACAACCUGA
RNAcentral lists this unclassified non-coding RNA (250 nucleotides) under plant metagenome. RNAcentral's name for it is "partial contains small subunit ribosomal RNA, internal transcribed spacer 1, and 5.8S ribosomal RNA". The record is from RNAcentral.